GUGCCAGCCGCCGCGGUAAUACGUAGGGUGCAAGCGUUAAUCGGAAUUACUGGGCGUAAAGCGCGCGUAGGUGGUUUGUUAAGUUGGAUGUGAAAGCCCCGGGCUCAACCUGGGAACUGCAUCCAAAACUGCCGAGCUAGAGUGCGGUAGAGGAAGGUGGAAUUUCGUGUGUAGCGGUGAAAUGCGUAGAUAUU
Molecule: ribosomal RNA, 194 nt
Filed under: Ectopseudomonas mendocina
Lineage: Bacteria; Pseudomonadati; Pseudomonadota; Gammaproteobacteria; Pseudomonadales; Pseudomonadaceae
Description: Pseudomonas mendocina partial 16S ribosomal RNA
Rfam family: Bacterial small subunit ribosomal RNA
Source: RNAcentral